RNAcentral lists this unclassified non-coding RNA (297 nucleotides) under Glomus sp. RNAcentral's name for it is "partial contains 5.8S ribosomal RNA and internal transcribed spacer 2". The stretch from base 1 to 65 matches the Rfam family "5.8S ribosomal RNA", at positions 84 to 154 of the family's 154-position model. The record is from RNAcentral. Lineage: Eukaryota; Fungi; Glomeromycota; Glomeromycetes; Glomerales; Glomeraceae.
GUGAAUCAUCGAAUUUUUGAACGCAAAUUGCACUCUCCUCGGAGAGUAUGCCUGUUUGAGGGUCAGCCUAUAAAAAAUCUACAUCGUUUCUGUUUCGCGGUGGCGUUCGUCGGAAAUUGGGUCAUCUUCACUCCUUUUGCUUUAAGCGACUUAACAUUUUCUUUUGGUUCCAUGAACGUUUCUAAGCUCUCUUUCUUUACACGUUUAAGGUCUCGAUUUUUACUAGACGUGACCAUCAUCUCUGAUCGCGUCCAUACUCUUUCCUUAACUUACCUCCUACAGUUCAGACUCCCCGCU